UGCAGGCUAGUUGGUACUGAGUCGACUUUCAUACGGUCGGUCGCCUGGUUCGAUUCCGGGGCUUGCAAC
Molecule: transfer RNA, 69 nt
Filed under: Aureliella helgolandensis
Lineage: Bacteria; Pseudomonadati; Planctomycetota; Planctomycetia; Pirellulales; Pirellulaceae
Description: Planctomycetes bacterium Q31a tRNA-Met
Source: RNAcentral